This 4001-nucleotide long non-coding RNA is filed under the name Homo sapiens (human). RNAcentral's name for it is "non-protein coding lnc-NBPF3-11:2". Lineage: Eukaryota; Metazoa; Chordata; Mammalia; Primates; Hominidae. The record is from RNAcentral.
GCCCGGGCUGCGCGGGGAACCUGGAGGGCAGGAGCAGGCGGGAGUUGUUGCUUCGGGGCGCAGGGUCCAGACCUUGCCGAGACCGGCGUUGGGAGCUAGCAGAACCGGGAAGAGGCUCGAUUGUGUCCGGUGGGGCCGCCGGGAGCCUCGGCGACCUUUGUCUCCUGCCUGGCUCCUGCACUGGAGUGUGACCCGGGGCGCUGCAGCUGCUUGUGUGUGUGUGUGUGUGUGUGUGUGUGUGUGUGUGCGCGCGCGCGCGCGCGCGCGCGUGUGUGUAAGAGGGAGGAGAAGAGGAGACAGAAACGGUGGGAGGGGUGGAUUCCGCGUGCCCGUGUGCUUAUGUGUGAAGGAAAGUCCUGACUAUAUUUGGGAUUUGUUGCUCUGUGUGUAUAUGUGCGUGUGUGUGUUUGCUAUAUUUGGGGUUCGUUGCUGUGUGUGUGUCCGCUGUAUUUGAGGUUUGUUGCUGUGUGUGUGUGUCCGGUAUAUUUGGGGUUUGUUGCCGUGUGUGUGUGUGUGUGUGUGUGUGUGUGUGUGUGUGUGUAAGAGAGGAAGAGAGAUGAGGAGACAGAAAGUGGGGGAGGGGUGGAUUCCGCGUGCCCGUGUGUUUAUAUGUGAAGGAAAGCCCUGACUGAUUUAUUUGGGAUUCGUUGCCGUCCAGGGACUUCAGGACAACCUGUGUCCGCUAUAUUUGAGGUUUGUUGCCGUGUGUCUGUGUGUCGCUAUAUUUGGGGUUCGUUGCUGUGAGUGUCUACUAUAUUUGGGGUUUGUUCUGUGUGUGUCCACUAUAUUUGGGGUUCAUUGCUGUGUGUGUGUGUCUGCUAUAUUUGAGGUUUGUUGCUGUGUGUGUGUCUCCGCUAUAUUUAGGGUUCAUUGCUGUGUGUUUGUGUGUCUGCUAUAUUUGGGGUUCGUUGCUGUGUGUGUGUGUCCGCUGUAUUUGGGGUUUGUUGCUGUGUGUGUGUGUGUCCCCGUGAUAGAGGGGUGAGGGAGGGAAUGGUAGCAAAGCAGAGAGAAGGAGCCGUGGCUCUCUAGGCGUGUGAAUUUGCAGGUCCAGGAGAGACACUGUCUCCACGUGUAGGUUUUGUGAGGUCAAGGGAAGGAGGAAGGAACAGAAGACAGCCUGCCUGUGUGUGUGUGUGAUGUGUGAUCUCCACUUUUGGGUCCUGUUGUACAUGCAUGUUAAUGUGGUAGAAAGAAAUGUGGUGUCCCUGUUGUAAACAAGUUGUGAAAAAAUCCUGGGUUUUUGUGGUGUAGUUUGCGUGUGUUGUACGUGCCCACACAAAAGAGGGACAUGGCUGUGAUUUGGUACAACUUUGUGUGUAACCCAGUUUGCAAGAGACAUCGAGAUAAAAACAUUGUGUGUGUGGUGACACUGUGGUCUUUGUGUGUGACUGUUGUGUGACUUUUGUGAUCAUCUAUAUUUGGGUUGGGCUGAGAAAGAGAAACUACUGUGUAGGGGGCAUAAUGAGUGUAUGUUCAGGAGAAAGACAUCCUGGCGGCAUUGGGAUUUGGGCUUUGAAGGAUGUCUAAGAGUUCAUUAGGCCAGACAGAAUGCUCGUGAGGCCAGAGGGAAAGAUCCGGGGAAUCCUGCCUAUCAGCCAACGGGGGUGAGGAGGCUGUAGUGGUGGGUGACCAGGGUGAAUUUGGAAACAGAACCUACUGCCAGCAAGGAAGAGGAGGAGCAACUGACUGCAACCCUUGCCCAGGUGCUGACCCAGAGUGGCCCUGGAUGCGUCUGGGCACACAGAGUCAUUCUAAAGCGGACCAUCUGUUCCUGGGCAGUUUGUUUGGGAACCUGGAGGGCGGGGAGGGGCUCUGUGGAAAUAACUCUAUGUUGCUCCUUCCUUCCAGCAGCAUUCCAAAUUCUUCAGUGUGGAGGACUCAGGGAGGUCGAAAAGCUCCUUGAGUGCAGCAGUUGGGAGCAUGGUGAAGGGGGGAGGGUCUGGCCGUGUCUGCAAGGUGACCAGACCUGAAGGUCCAGAGCCCCCCUCCAUCAUGGGGUACUUAAACUAUCAGCUGCCCUGGCCUGGUGUCCGAUUCCUGACUAUUCCUCAAGUGUCUUCCUAAGAAUCAUAGCCUGAUGCCUGCAGAGACAUUGAAGAUCCAGGGACACACAAAAAUGAAACCCAGUUAUCCUGGCACUCCACUUGCCAGCAAUGUGAUUAUGUUCUCUUCUCUCUGAGCUCCCGUUUUUGCCUCUGUAAAAUGGUGUUCAUAAUUCUUACCCACCUCACUGUACUGUUGUAAAGAUUUAAGGAGUUAAUAUACCUCGUGGGCCUUUUGUAACUUAACAAACCGCUAGAAAGCCUUUAAGCAUUGCUCCAUUUACAAAAAGUUCAAAAAAUAAGCAAAAUUAGACCUGUGCUGUCAGAAGUUAGGUUUGUGUUAUCUUUGGGGAGGGAAUGACUGGAAAGGGGCACCAGGGAAGCUUCUGGGUGCUAGUAAGGGUUAGGUACGGAGGAGGGAGUAGUUCAGUUGUGAAAAAUUGAGCAGUCUCCUUAGGAUCUAUGUGCUUUUCUGUCUCUGUUACUCUCUAACAAGAAGUUUCCAAAAGAAAAAAGGGCCAGGUGCAGUGGCUCAUACCUGUAAUCCCAGCACUUUGAGAGGCCAAGGCAGGCGGAUCACCUGAGGUCAGGAGUUCAAGACCAGUGUGGCCAACAUGACAAAACUCGUCUCUACUAAAAAUACAAAUAAAUUACCCGGGCAUGGUCGUGGGCACCUGUAAUUCCAGCUACUCAGGAGGCUGAGACAGGAGAAUCGCUUGGACCGAGGAGGCGGAGGUUGCAGUGAGCUGAAUCACGCCGCUGCCCUCCAGCCUAGGUGACAGAGAGACUCCAUUUCAAAAAAAAAAAAAAAAAAAAAAAGGCAGGGCUCAGUGGUGGAUCACUUGAGAUCAGGAGUUUGAGACCAGCCUGGCCAACAUGGCAAAACUCCAUCUCUACUAAAAUACAAAAAUUAGCUGGGCAGGGUGGCGGGUGCCUAUAAUCCCAGCUACUCCGGAGGCUGAGGCAGGAGAAUCACUUGAACGUGGGAGGCAGAGGUUGCAGUGAGCUGAGAUCGAGCCACUGCACUCCAGCCUGGGCGACAGUGAGAAUCCGGCAAAAAAAAAAAAAAAAAAAAAAAAAAAAAAAAAUCAGAAGGUCAGGUAUAGGUAUUAUGACCACAUUUUAAUCACUCAUAAAAUGGACAUUCUGGAAUGCUGUAUCAGCUCAGGGCAGAGUACUGGGGACACUAUAUUGAGUAAGGUGUGGUUCUCCUGGCUCUAUGAAGAAAGCAGAGGAGAAAGGCUGUGGCUUUCUUGCUUCUGAAAGGGGCACAUUAAGGAUGGGGCGGGGCGGGCAGGGAGUGAGGGGCAGCAUGCCCAAACCCACUCCAAAGCCACUCACCCGGCUUGACAGCAGAAUCAGGACUAGAACCAAGGCCUCCCAAGGUGAUGGCUGAGUCUUUUCCAUUCUACCAGGCUGCUCCAGAAAACGCAGCCCCUGGUCUUAUGCUGCUCAAACGGAAGCAAGCAAGUGAGGUUUGCUGCCGACUCUGACCCUUACCUCCAACUCCUCCAGGAUCUUCAGAGAUCACCUCAUCCAAACAGCUUUCUGGGAACGGCCAGCCAUAACAAAUGCUAAGCAUUUAUUAUGUGCCAGACAUGGUGGCAGGUGCUUUGCAGCAUUAUCUGAGUGAUUCUCACAAUUCUAUGUGGUAGGUGCUAGGAUUCCCACAUCACCUCCAUAUUGCAGGUGAGAAAAUCAAUGUUCAGAGAGGGAAAGUGAUUUGCCCGAGAAGACACAGCUAGUUUGAGGGGCUUUGCUCCUUUGCUGGCAUGCAGCUGCUUCUGUUGGUAUUCAUGGGCUCGCCAUGCCCUCUGACAGACACAAGUGGUUUCAUGACAGGAGAAGGUGUCCCCUGUUAGACUGCUGGAGACUGGAUGAGAUGUGGGGAGUUGCCCCUUCCAAAUACUCAAGCCUCUGGGCACAGGGUCUGCCCCAUCGGAGCAUCAGGGCUCAAAC